GACGAACCGUGCGAACGUUGUUCGGAAUCACUGGGCUUAAAGGGCGCGUAGGCGGGCAAGCAAGUCCGGGGUGAAAUCUUUCGGCUCAACCGGAAAAGUGCCUUGGAUACUGCUUGUCUGGAGGGAGGUAGGGGCCCGUGGAACUUCCGGUGGAGCGGUGAAAUGCGUUGAUAUCGGAAGGAACGCCGGUGGCGAAAGCGACGGGCUGGAUCUCUACUGACGCGUGAGGCGCGGAAAGCCAGGGGAGCAAACGGGG
RNAcentral lists this ribosomal RNA (256 nucleotides) under uncultured bacterium. RNAcentral's name for it is "partial 16S ribosomal RNA". It matches the Rfam family "Bacterial small subunit ribosomal RNA", at positions 524 to 777 of the family's 1533-position model. The record is from RNAcentral.